This 268-nucleotide long non-coding RNA is filed under the name Anser brachyrhynchus (Pink-footed goose). RNAcentral's name for it is "lncRNA (ENSABRG00000000957.1)". Lineage: Eukaryota; Metazoa; Chordata; Aves; Anseriformes; Anatidae. The record is from RNAcentral.
CUCUGUUCAGCUCUUCAAGUGGUUGUGGCUUGGAGUGAUCUUGGUUGCUUCUGGAUUUGUCACACAGUAUUCAUCUUGGGAUAAUAGUUUGAAACUUGUUCAUCUGUGCAGAAAGCUACAACUAUGGGAUUCUCUAAUUGUUUUCUGACUUGGAAUCUGCUGUGAACACUGACUGACCCUUGGAAGUGGCAUCCUUUCAGCUCUCCACCCUGUUUCCAGUGGUCUAUGCAGAAUGGCUGUUCAGUUGAGGGGGCUUGGUUUCCUUCUG